This 320-nucleotide ribosomal RNA is filed under the name uncultured archaeon. RNAcentral's name for it is "bacterial SSU rRNA". It matches the Rfam family "Archaeal small subunit ribosomal RNA", at positions 428 to 747 of the family's 1478-position model. The record is from RNAcentral.
UUUUGGAAUAAGGGCUGGGCAAGACCGGUGCCAGCCGCCGCGGUAACACCGGCAGCCCAAGUGGUGGCCAUUUUUAUUGGGCCUAAAGCGUUCGUAGCCGGCCUGAUAAGUCUCUGGUGAAAUCCCGCAGCUUAACUGUGGGAAUUGCUGGAGAUACUAUCAGGCUUGAGGUCGGGAGAGGUUAGAGGUACUCCCAGGGUAGGGGUGAAAUCCUAUAAUCCUGGGAGGACCACCUGUGGCGAAGGCGUCUAACUGGAACGAACCUGACGGUGAGUAACGAAAGCCAGGGGCGCGAACCGGAUUAGAUACCCGUGUAGUCC